GACGAACGCUGGCGGCGUGCCUAACACAUGCAAGUCGAGCGGGGAACGGAUGGUAGCUUGCUACUGUUUGUUUCUAGCGGCGGACGGGUGAGUAACGCGUGAGCAACCUGCCUUUAUCAGGGGGAUAACGCAUCGAAAGAUGUGCUAAUACCGCGUAAGACCACAGCUUCACAUGGAGUGGGGGUCAAAGAAGCAAUCCGGAUAAAGAUGGGCUCGCGUCCGAUUAGCUAGUUGGUGAGAUAACAGCCCACCAAGGCGACGAUCGGUAGCCGACCUGAGAGGGUGAUCGGCCACAUUGGAACUGAGAGACGGUCCAGACUCCUACGGGAGGCAGCAGUGGGGAAUAUUGGGCAAUGGGCGAAAGCCUGACCCAGCAACGCCGCGUGAGGGAAGAAGGGUUUCGGCUCGUAAACCUCUGUCC
This 421-nucleotide ribosomal RNA is filed under the name uncultured bacterium. Its description in RNAcentral is "bacterial SSU rRNA". It matches the Rfam family "Bacterial small subunit ribosomal RNA", at positions 28 to 438 of the family's 1533-position model. The record is from RNAcentral.